Molecule: long non-coding RNA, 1293 nt
Filed under: Equus caballus (horse)
Lineage: Eukaryota; Metazoa; Chordata; Mammalia; Perissodactyla; Equidae
Description: lncRNA (ENSECAG00000044565.1)
Source: RNAcentral
UUUCCUGAUUAUUGGAAAUAGGAUUUUUAAAAGUCUUUAUUUUUUCUGAAUAAGCUGUUUUCCAAAUUGUCAACACAGCCAGUAAGAAGGUAAAUAUAGAAGAGCUGGUUAAUAAACAGAGCGGUAAAAUUCAAUGUGGACAGAGAAAUUCUCCCAUUAAUUUUUCCUGGAAGCAGAAUUGCCUGUCAGAUUUGACAAAAAGGUGGUAAAUUUCUGGAGUGCACCAAGUGUGGUCCAGGGUCUGCGGUGGAUUCAGUAGGGGUCUCUGCGGAGGGCCGGAGGGACAGGGCAGGGCGUCGACAGGACAGCUGGUUCACAAGGGAAAUUCAAGGGGCAAGGCGAAGCUAUCAACUGGCAGGUGAAUCACAAGAUGAGAAGCUGGGAGGCCUAGAGGAAGAGCAGAGGUGUGGUGUGUGACAACGCACAGCCAGUGAUUCAGCACCACGGCUGUGAGAGGCCAGUGUGGAGGUGUCGUCAACUUUUGGUUUGGGGGCAGGACUCCUGUGGGAAGCAGACCCCGCUGCUGUCUUAUUAAGACAGAGGCUGUCUCUACACAGCCCAUCACUGCCUCUGUUGUGAGAAAUCAAACCCAGCCAUGACUUCCUGCGCACAAAAGCACACUGAUUCCUGCCAUUCCAAGCUUUCCAGCCCCACCUGCCACCACUCCCCACUCACUCCUCCGUGCUCUAGUCACAAGGAUUUCCUCAAACGGAUCAUUCUGUUUCAGUCACUGUGUCUUUGAGCAGUGUAUUAGACUUUGAGAUAAGUUGCCGUAACAAAGAGCAAAAACAACAACAACAAAAAACCUGUUUAUUUAUUAGCAAAUAAAACAGAUUGCCUUAAAUUAGAGUUUUUCUCCUAAAGCAGUCCAGAGGUGAGAGGCACAGAGCCGGCAGAGUAGCAGUGCUCCACACAGUCAUUCAGGGAUCCAGCUCCUAACAUCUUGCUCCUUCACCAUCUCCUGGGGUAUUGCCAUCAUCCACAGAGUUGCAGUGGGCUUACCUUCAUUUCUGGCAAAGAGAGAGCCCUGGGUCUUUAUUUAAGGUGAAGAGCUGACAGCAGAGCACACAGGCCUCCUGUUACCUGAGAACCUACCCAGGGCCCCCGCACGUGGAGGAAGGCCCUGAAGGCCAUUGCAACCAUAGGCAGGCAUCUCCACCCAAAACGGCUGGCUUGGGCUUGAAUGUUUAGGAGAACAAGGUAAAUCAGGUAAAUGAUCUGAUAUCAAGGAUUUAUAUUUUAAGAGAAAACAAUCAACUGGCUACAUCCCAGGAUCAAUAAACAUUCAGCCUU